Molecule: long non-coding RNA, 874 nt
Organism: Oncorhynchus gorbuscha (pink salmon)
Lineage: Eukaryota; Metazoa; Chordata; Actinopteri; Salmoniformes; Salmonidae
Exons: 3
Source: RefSeq, a predicted model, not a curated record
CUCCAGUCGUGGUAACUCCGCCCGAACACUGCGCAUGAAGCGUCAAAAACAGCUGAUUGCAGGAAAAUCCCCCCAAAAAGUGCGAUAUUUAUUAAGACAUGUCAGGUGUAUGAGACUCCGCAUGUAGAUAUGAAACACGUAUUGUACAGUUGCAAAUGGAUCUAGUUUCAUCUAGUUACAGACCCUCAAACUGUGAGGCGGCUACGGAUAUCGACCUCAAUAACACUAGUCACUGCCGUAACCAUCGCCGGAGAAAGAAGAUAUGAAAGGAGAGCACUUACCUGCGGACGAGGAACCACAUGAUCAAAAUCACAUCAUUUAACUGUUGCGGCAUAAAGGGGGUGAUUACAAGCUUCUAACAGAGCGCUCACCCUGCGUAGCCCAUGACUGCUGAGAGAUGGACUUGGAGAAGGAGCUGGUCAAAGGCUUUUGUAAUAUGAGAGGAGAAGAUAAAAGCUCAAAGGUGCCGAAGUGUAAGAGGGAGAUAACAUGGAGGAGGGAGAGACAACAAUAUGUCAAAUGUGAAGUAAUUGCUGUUUCUCCUUGCCACAAACACGAUUUAUAUAUUUUUUCAAUCCUCUGCCUUUAUUUUAUUUUAAGUACAUAAAAUAAGUUUCACAAAAUAAUGUUUCUUUGAGCUAUUGCCCCCCCCCCAUCCCCAAAUCAUGAACCGAAUUAUUAUAAUUUUUAGGAUAGCUGCUGACAUGGCAAAAGCCCAUAUUACAUUGCAUACACAACUAAAGUAAACGAAUGGCAAGCUACAAAUCACCACAUGGGGGCAAAAGUACACCAAAUUCAGACUUUUACACCCAUGUCAUAAAAUAGGCUAUAUUGUUAGUUCAUUGAGUAGAUGCAAGGGUUUUGCUUAUUACAG